CUACAGCACACAUGAAUAUAGCUACCAAAUCAAGAAGUUUGCAACUACCGGGAGCUAACAAAGCAAAAACAAAAGCCAUUCUGUGAAAAUAUAACUGAUUUUAGAAUAUCCUAAGCUGUUAUUUCAUGUUCAAGGGAAGAUUGUUUAAAAAAAAGGAAAGAAGUUGCUUCUGUAAAUUAAGCCUGAUUUCUUUUUGGAGCAAGGAGGAUAUCCUGGAUUGAGGGUUGACAAGAGCUCUGUGCACAGGACUCUGCACUUAUCCAAGAGAAGAAUCUAAAGAAAUCAGAACAGCUCAGGUAGUUUUAGA
Long non-coding RNA from Enhydra lutris kenyoni (northern sea otter), 307 nucleotides. RefSeq lists it as uncharacterized. Lineage: Eukaryota; Metazoa; Chordata; Mammalia; Carnivora; Mustelidae. The transcript has 3 exons. The record is from RefSeq and is a predicted model, not a curated record.